This 292-nucleotide ribosomal RNA is filed under the name uncultured bacterium. RNAcentral describes it as "partial 16S ribosomal RNA". It matches the Rfam family "Bacterial small subunit ribosomal RNA", at positions 505 to 796 of the family's 1533-position model. The record is from RNAcentral.
GUGCCAGCAGCCGCGGUAAUACGAAGGGGGCGAGCGUUGUUCGGAUUUACUGGGCGUAAAGGGCGCGCAGGCGGCUUUUCAAGUCAGGCGUGAAAGCCCCGGGCUUAACCUGGGAACUGCGUCUGGGACUGAGAGGCUAGAGUUCGGGAGAGGAGAGUGGAAUUCCCAGUGUAGAGGUGAAAUUCGUAGAUAUUGGGAAGAACACCGGUGGCGAAGGCGGCUCUCUGGACCGAGACUGACGCUGAGGCGCGAAAGCGUGGGGAGCAAACAGGAUUAGAAACCCCAGUAGUCC